Molecule: ribosomal RNA, 334 nt
Filed under: uncultured bacterium
Lineage: Bacteria
Description: bacterial SSU rRNA
Rfam family: Bacterial small subunit ribosomal RNA
Source: RNAcentral
GUCUAGUACUCAGAGUUUGAUCCUGGCUCAGGACGAACGCUGGCGGCGUGCCUAACACAUGCAAGUCGAACGGAGUUAUCCUUCGGGGUAACUUAGUGGCGAGCGGGUGAGUAACGCGUGAGGAACCUGCCUUUCAGUGGGGGACAACAGUUGGAAACGACUGCUAAUACCGCAUAAUGUUAUCGGACCGCAUGGUCUGAUAACCAAAGAUUUAUUGCUGAAAGAUGGCUUCGCGUCUGAUUAGAUAGUUGGUGGGGUAACGGCCUACCAAGUCGACGAUCAGUAGCCGGACUGAGAGGUUGAACGGCCACAUUGGGACUGAGAUACGGCCCAG